GGGCGGGUGGCGAAAUUGGUAGACGCACCACACUCAAAAUGUGGCGGCCUUUGGUCAUGAGAGUUCGAGUCUCUCCCCGCCCA
This is a transfer RNA of Microcoleus sp., 83 nucleotides long. It matches the Rfam family "tRNA". From Rfam's summary of the family: Transfer RNA (tRNA) molecules are approximately 80 nucleotides in length. Their secondary structure includes four short double-helical elements and three loops (D, anti-codon, and T loops). Further hydrogen bonds mediate the characteristic L-shaped molecular structure. tRNAs have two regions of fundamental functional importance: the anti-codon, which is responsible for specific mRNA codon recognition, and the 3' end, to which the tRNAs corresponding amino acid is attached (by aminoacyl-tRNA synthetases). tRNAs cope with the degeneracy of the genetic code in two manners: having more than one tRNA (with a specific anti-codon) for a particular amino acid; and 'wobble' base-pairing, i.e. permitting non-standard base-pairing at the 3rd anti-codon position. NCBI's taxonomy places the organism in Bacteria, Bacillati, Cyanobacteriota, Cyanophyceae, Oscillatoriales, Microcoleaceae. The record is from Rfam.